GGGGUAUAGCUUAACGGUAGAGCAUUUGACUUUUAAUCAAACG
Molecule: transfer RNA, 43 nt
Filed under: Favella ehrenbergii
Lineage: Eukaryota; Ciliophora; Spirotrichea; Tintinnida; Xystonellidae
Description: partial tRNA
Rfam family: tRNA
About the family: Transfer RNA (tRNA) molecules are approximately 80 nucleotides in length. Their secondary structure includes four short double-helical elements and three loops (D, anti-codon, and T loops). Further hydrogen bonds mediate the characteristic L-shaped molecular structure. tRNAs have two regions of fundamental functional importance: the anti-codon, which is responsible for specific mRNA codon recognition, and the 3' end, to which the tRNAs corresponding amino acid is attached (by aminoacyl-tRNA synthetases). tRNAs cope with the degeneracy of the genetic code in two manners: having more than one tRNA (with a specific anti-codon) for a particular amino acid; and 'wobble' base-pairing, i.e. permitting non-standard base-pairing at the 3rd anti-codon position.
Source: RNAcentral